RNAcentral lists this long non-coding RNA (334 nucleotides) under Lotus japonicus. RNAcentral describes it as "long non-coding RNA (LJAP_LNC000208)". The record is from RNAcentral. Lineage: Eukaryota; Viridiplantae; Streptophyta; Magnoliopsida; Fabales; Fabaceae.
CCACCAUCUCAUGAGCAACACCCACAGCCACCCUACCAUUACAAACCACCUUUCCAUGGCCCCAAAGUCCCUCCAUAUUACUACAAAUCCCCCCCCAUCUCCACCACCACCUUAUGUCUACAAGUCUCCUCCUCCCCCUUCUCCUUCACCACCACCUCCACCCCCACCAUCACCUUCCCCACCUCCACCCUAUGUUUACAAGUCACCACCACCACCAUCACCCUCACCACCACCUCCAUAUGUUUAUAAAUCUCCACCUCCUCCAUCACCCUCCCCUCCCCCACCAUAUGUUUAUAAGUCUCCACCCCCACCAUCACCCUCCCCACCACCUCCA